GACAGAGGGGGCGAGCGUUAUCCGGAAUUAUUGGGCGUAAAGCGUCCGUAGGUGGUUUGGCAAGUCUGGGGUUAAAGCCCGGAGCCUAACUCCGGAUCGGCCCUGGAAACUGCCAGACUAGAGUAAGGCAGAGGUUGCCGGAAUUCCCGGUGUAGCGGUGAAAUGCGUAGAUAUCGGGAAGAACACCGGUGGCGAAAGCGCCCAACUGGGCCAUUACUGACACUGAGGGACGAAAGCUAGGGGAGCGAAUGGG
RNAcentral lists this ribosomal RNA (253 nucleotides) under uncultured bacterium. RNAcentral's name for it is "partial 16S ribosomal RNA". It matches the Rfam family "Bacterial small subunit ribosomal RNA", at positions 524 to 776 of the family's 1533-position model. The record is from RNAcentral.